Molecule: non-coding RNA, 27 nt
Filed under: Rattus norvegicus (Norway rat)
Lineage: Eukaryota; Metazoa; Chordata; Mammalia; Rodentia; Muridae
Source: RNAcentral
UGGGAUGCUUCCUUUGAAUAGGAGAAA